Non-coding RNA from Podarcis lilfordi (Lilford's wall lizard), 75 nucleotides. Lineage: Eukaryota; Metazoa; Chordata; Lepidosauria; Squamata; Lacertidae. The record is from the annotation of a GenBank genome assembly.
GACCAUAGCUCAGCAGCAGAGCACCUGCCUUGCAGGCAGAAGGUCCCAGGUUCAAUCCCAGAGGACCCAAAGUCA